This 252-nucleotide ribosomal RNA is filed under the name uncultured bacterium. RNAcentral describes it as "partial 16S ribosomal RNA". It matches the Rfam family "Bacterial small subunit ribosomal RNA", at positions 524 to 776 of the family's 1533-position model. The record is from RNAcentral.
UACGGAGGAUGCGAGCGUUAUCCGGAUUUAUUGGGUUUAAAGGGUGCGCAGGCGGCACGGCAAGCCGGCGGUCAAAUCGCGGGGCUCAACCCCGCCCAGCCGUCGGAACUGCCGGGCUAGAGUGGGCGAGAAGUGCGCGGAAUGCGUGGUGUAGCGGUGAAAUGCAUAGAUAUCACGCAGAACUCCGAUUGCGAAGGCAGCGCACCGGCGCCCUACUGACGCUCAGGCACGAAAGCAUGGGUAUCGAACAGG